GACGAAUGCUGGCGGCGUGCUUAACACAUGCAAGUCGAACGGAAAGGCCCCUUUGGGGGUACUCGAGUGGCGAACGGGUGAGUAACACGUGAGUAACCUGCCCUUGACUUCGGGAUAACUUCAGGAAACUGGGGCUAAUACCGGAUAGGAAUCCUUGCUGCAUGGUGGGGGUUGGAAAGCUUCGGCGGUUUUGGAUGGACUCGCGGCUUAUCAGCUUGUUGGUGGGGUAGUGGCUUACCAAGGCUUUGACGGGUAGCCGGCCUGAGAGGGCGACCGGCCACAUUGGGACUGAGAUACGGCCCAGACUCCUACGGGAGGCAGCAGUGGGGAAUAUUGCACAAUGGGCGGAAGCCGGAUGCAGCAACGCCGCGUGCGGGAUGACGGCCUUCGGGUUGUAAACCGCUUUCAGCAGGGGCGAAGCUUGUGGUGACGGUACCUGCAGAAGAAGCACCGGCUAACUACGUG
This 465-nucleotide ribosomal RNA is filed under the name uncultured bacterium. RNAcentral describes it as "partial 16S ribosomal RNA". It matches the Rfam family "Bacterial small subunit ribosomal RNA", at positions 28 to 507 of the family's 1533-position model. The record is from RNAcentral.